RNAcentral lists this long non-coding RNA (1403 nucleotides) under Polistes fuscatus (common paper wasp). RNAcentral's name for it is "uncharacterized LOC122518809, transcript variant X1". The record is from RNAcentral. Lineage: Eukaryota; Metazoa; Arthropoda; Insecta; Hymenoptera; Vespidae.
GCGGGUUCGUUCGUUCGAUGGGUCCUCUAGCGAUGGGUAUAACCUAUAAUCGAACAUGAACAAAUCAAGAUAAUAUAUAUAUAAAAGAAUUCAAUUAGAAAUCGUCGUAUUAGAGGGAAAAGAUAGAAAAGAAGAAAAAACAAACAAAAUUGAAGGCACAUCGUGGAAUCCAUCAUCGAUGAGAACCAACUACUCCCGUAGCCUCUCCCAGCCUUCUCCUUCCCUUUCACGUUAUCGCUUCGGUAAGUUUGUACAAUAAACCGAAUGACAGAUGAUCGACCCUCUCGUACGGGCGCAUGAUCGUUUACACACACGCUCGUGAGUUCUCCGGUACGAGCUCCGGUACGGGCCGACUUAUGAAUGGUAUCUGUACGCGUUCCCACGUCACUGAAUGAGUCUCGAGUCUCUCACGUCCGGCGAGAUUAUCGUGGUGUCUCGUGGUGUCUCGUGUUUCUUUCUCUCACCCCACACACCAUUCCCUUCUUAUCCUCUUAAUACCGUGUGCUAUAAUAUACUUUUUCUUCUCGUAAUACUCCUAGUAACUACUUCUAUCUAAAUAUUUCGUGCGCAUAGAACAAAUUUCAGAUGAUACCAACACAAUUUUCGUUAUUUUAUCAUUCGAAUUUCGAAUAAUCGUAUAAAGUCACGCGAACGAUGAUAUAACAUUUUACAGGAGUGUUUGAAAGAAAUACGUGACACGAACAAAAUGAGAAAAGAUGGUCUUACAAAAAACCAAAAUAAUGAAUAUUUAUAUAAAGAAUAAACAUGUGUCUGAUCGGUCGACUGAACAGUCUGUAGGCAGUCAGGAAUCGGGAGGGUCGCCCCACAGCUAACACGUGCAAGGCGCACGUGCACUCCGAAAGACCACUCUAGCCUCUGGCGCACAAUCAUCGGAUGCCAAGAUACACUCCACGGAAUAAUUUUCGAGGGGCACUCCCAUGCUUUCUUCGUGUGUUCAGCACUAAAGGGGAAAAAAAGAAAAAAGAAAGAAGGAAAGAAAGAAAGAAAUAAAAAAGAGAAAUAAAAAAAAUACAAGUACACGCAUCGGGUACUAAAUUUCGUCCUAAUUUUAAUAAUACGUUCAUCAUUUGAAAUACUUAUUCGAAUAAAAACGAUUUAAUUCACGCAGUAUUUCAAAUCAAACGCGUUCCAAUCCCCGUCAUACGUGGAAAAGAUAUUCUCUUACGUACACACACAUAUAUAUGUGUGUUUUAAGCUCGCGAGCACGUUUCCAACGGUGUUCGUGCUUUAAAGGAAGAGACACGUUGUACCUGACUGACUCUAUGCGUAAAGGUUUGCAUCUUAAAGAUUGUUGUUGUCCACUGGUUACCUUAUGACCCACGAGUUGAAUGUAAUAUAAAUACGAUUUGAAUUUGAAUUCGUGACUUAUUCCUAGACAAAAA